GUAGGUGAACCUGCGGAAGGAUCAUUAGAAAGUUCGACGGCCGAGAGGCCCGUCCCACCUUCAAAACCACUUGUGAAAUCACCCGUUGCCUCGGCGGCGUUGGGACGGUCCUCCGCCCCUCGUCAGUCCGCCCGAGGCUCCAAACCAAAACUUUUUUUCAGUAAACCUCAGUCUGACAAACCAAAAAGAUUUAAUUCGUUAAAACUUUCAACAACGGAUCUCUUGGUUCUCGCAUCGAUGAAGAACGCAG
This 250-nucleotide unclassified non-coding RNA is filed under the name plant metagenome. Its description in RNAcentral is "partial contains small subunit ribosomal RNA, internal transcribed spacer 1, and 5.8S ribosomal RNA". The stretch from base 203 to 250 matches the Rfam family "5.8S ribosomal RNA", at positions 1 to 48 of the family's 154-position model. The record is from RNAcentral.